GUAGGUUAGAUUAGGUUUGGUUAGGCUAGGUUAGGUUAGGUUUGGCUAUGCUUCGUUAAGUUAGGUGAGGUUAGGUUAGGCUAGGUUAGGUUAGGCUAGGGUAGGUUAUGUUAGGUUUGGCUAGGCUUCUUUAGGUGAGGUUAGGUUAGGUUAGGUAAGGUUUGGCUAGGUUAGAUAAAGUUUGGUUAGGCUAGCUUGGGAUUAAGACACGAGAUAGCCAGUCUUGGGGAGGAGGAAGCACCAGACAGAAGUUAGGGUAGGCUUCUUUGGGUUAGGCUUGGUUUGGUUAGGGGCAGCUGAGGAGUGUGAAGCUCCACCACGUUAGGUUAAAUUUGAGGUAAUAUUUUAGUCAUAUUCUCCCUCACCACCAAAAUUUUCCCACUGUAAAAACUUUAAUAUUUUUUUUCUGAAGGCUACAAAACAAAUCACUCGUUUUCUCAUCCCAGACCCCUAAACACCAACCCUUUCUUCCUUCACACACACACACACACACACACACACACACACACAC
Molecule: long non-coding RNA, 511 nt
Organism: Scylla paramamosain (green mud crab)
Lineage: Eukaryota; Metazoa; Arthropoda; Malacostraca; Decapoda; Portunidae
Exons: 2
Source: RefSeq, a predicted model, not a curated record